GCCUGAGUAGCUAAGUCAGUUAAGUGUCUGACUUCAGCCCAGGUCAUGAUAUUGUGGUUUGUGGGUUCAAGCCCUGCAUCGGGCU
Molecule: transfer RNA, 85 nt
Filed under: Felis catus (domestic cat)
Lineage: Eukaryota; Metazoa; Chordata; Mammalia; Carnivora; Felidae
Rfam family: tRNA
About the family: Transfer RNA (tRNA) molecules are approximately 80 nucleotides in length. Their secondary structure includes four short double-helical elements and three loops (D, anti-codon, and T loops).
Source: Rfam by way of RNAcentral